GGAAUAUUGCACAAUGGGCGAAAGCCUGAUGCAGCGACGCCGCGUGAGGGAUGACGGCCUUCGGGUUGUAAACCUCUUUCAGCAGGGAAGAAGCGAAAGUGACGGUACCUGCAGAAGAAGCGCCGGCUAACUACGUGCCAGCAGCCGCGGUAAGACGUAGGGCGCGAGCGUUGUCCGGAAUUAUUGGGCGUAAAGAGCUCGUAGGCGGUCUGUCGCGUCGGAUGUGAAAGCCCGGGGCUUAACCCCGGGUCUGCAUUCGAUACGGGCAGACUAGAGUGUGGUAGGGGAGAUCGGAAUUCCUGGUGUAGCGGUGAAAUGCGCAGAUAUCAGGAGGAACACCGGUGGCGAAGGCGGAUCUCUGGGCCAUUACUGACGCUGAGGAGCGAAAGCGUGGGGAGCGAACAGG
This 406-nucleotide ribosomal RNA is filed under the name uncultured bacterium. Its description in RNAcentral is "bacterial SSU rRNA". It matches the Rfam family "Bacterial small subunit ribosomal RNA", at positions 358 to 776 of the family's 1533-position model. The record is from RNAcentral.